CCCUUCCUACGGGAGGCAGCAGUGGGGAAUAUUGCACAAUGGGCGCAAGCCUGAUGCAGCGACGCCGCGUGGGGGAUGACGGCCUUCGGGUUGUAAACUCCUUUCGCUAGGGACGAAGCUUUUUGUGACGGUACCUAGAUAAGAAGCACCGGCUAACUACGUGCCAGCAGCCGCGGUAAUACGUAGGGUGCGAGCGUUGUCCGGAAUUACUGGGCGUAAAGGGCUCGUAGGUGGUUUGUCGCGUCGUCUGUGAAAUUCCGGGGCUUAACUCCGGGCGUGCAGGCGAUACGGGCAUAACUUGAGUACUGUAGGGGUAACUGGAAUUCCUGGUGUAGCGGUGAAAUGCGCAGAUAUCAGGAGGAACACCGAUGGCGAAGGCAGGUUACUGGGCAGUUACUGACGCUGAGGAGCGAAAGCAUGGGUAGCGAACAGGAUUAGAUACCCUGGUAGUCCAUGCCGUAAACGGUGGGCGCUAGGUGUGAGGGUCUUUUCACGACUUU
RNAcentral lists this ribosomal RNA (500 nucleotides) under uncultured bacterium. Its description in RNAcentral is "bacterial SSU rRNA". It matches the Rfam family "Bacterial small subunit ribosomal RNA", at positions 333 to 841 of the family's 1533-position model. The record is from RNAcentral.